RNAcentral lists this ribosomal RNA (2877 nucleotides) under Parabacteroides distasonis. Its description in RNAcentral is "23S ribosomal RNA". It matches the Rfam family "Bacterial large subunit ribosomal RNA". The record is from RNAcentral. Lineage: Bacteria; Pseudomonadati; Bacteroidota; Bacteroidia; Bacteroidales; Tannerellaceae.
GAGAAAGUAAGCAAGGGCAGACGGUGGAUGCCUUGGCUCUCGGAGGCGACGAAGGACGUGAUAAGCUGCGAAAAGCCCGGGGGAGGCGCAAAUAGCCGUUGAUCCCGGGAUAUCCGAAUGGGGCAACCCGGCAGGCUGAAGGCCUGUCAUCCCGUAAGGGAGGCGAACGUGGGGAACUGAAACAUCUAAGUACCCAUAGGAGGAGAAAAUAAACAAUGAUUCCGUAAGUAGUGGCGAGCGAACACGGAAGAGCCCAAACCCAUGUCGUCUAGGCGACACGGGGGUUGUAGGACCACGACGUGGCAAGAUAGAGUCAAGUGGAACGCCUUGGAAAAGGCGGUCAUAGAGGGUGAAAACCCCGUACACGACUGACGAUUGAAGCCUAGUGGCAUCCUGAGUAGCGCGGGGCACGAGAAAUCUUGCGUGAAACAGCGGGGCCCAUCCCGUAAGGCUAAAUACUCCCGAGAGACCGAUAGCGAACCAGUACCGUGAGGGAAAGGUGAAAAGAACCCCGAGCAGGGGAGUGAAAUAGACCCUGAACCCGUCUGCCUACAAGCGGUCGGAGCAUCGUCAAGAUGUGACGGCGUGCCUUUUGCAUAAUGAACCUACGAGUUACCUUCCCCGGCAAGGUUAAGUACCUAAGGUACGGAGCCGAAGCGAAAGCGAGUCUGAAGAGGGCGGCCAGUCGGGGGGGGUAGACGCGAAACCGAGUGAUCUACCCUUGGCCAGGUUGAAGGUUGGGUAACACCAACUGGAGGACCGGAUGGGUAAGCGUUGAAAAGCUUUCCAAUGAGCUGAGGGUAGGGGUGAAAGGCUAAUCAAACUCGGAGAUAGCUCGUACUCCCCGAAAUGCAUUUAGGUGCAGCCUCUUUAUAGUAUAUCGUGAGGUAGAGCGACUGAUUGGAUGCGAGGGCUUCACCGCCUAUCAAGUCCAGAUAAACUCCGAAUGCGCGAUAUAUAUUUAAAGGGAGUGAGGGCGCGGGUGCUAAGGUCCGUGUCCGAGAGGAGAAGAAUCCAGACCACCGGCUAAGGCCCCCAAAUGAUCGUUGAGUUGAACUAACGAGGUCGGAUCGCAGAGACAGCUAGGAUGUUGGCUUGGAAGCAGCCAUUCAUUUAAAGAGUGCGUAACAGCUCACUAGUCGAGCGAUCUGGCGUGGAUAAUAAUCGGGCAUAAACGAUCUGCCGAAGCCGUGGAUGUCGUAAGACAUGGUAGGGGAGCAUUCCAUGCCGCGUCGAAGAUGAGGGACGACCCUUGUUGGAGCGCAUGGAAAAGCAAAUGUAGGUAUGAGUAACGAUAAGGGGGGCGAGAAACCCCCCCGCCGAAAGACCAAGGUUUCCUGAUCAACGCUAAUCGGAUCAGGGUGAGUCGGGACCUAAGGCAAAGCCGAACGGCGCCGCCGAUGGAAGAAUGGGUUAAUAUUCCCAUACUGCCUCAUGGAGUGACGUGGAGACGGAGAAGUGACAGUCCUGCCGGCUGACGGAAUAGCCGGUUGAAGGGUGUAGAUAUUGAUUCCCGUAGGCAAAUCCGCGGGGAGAGUCGAACCUGAGAGUAUACGGAGCGCUUGCGCAACGUAAUAUGGACGUAACCAUGCUCCCGAGAAAAUCCGCUAAACUUAUCCAUGCGGCACCCGUACCGUAAACGGACACACGUGGUCGGGUUGAGAAUACUGAGGCGCUCGAGUGAUUCACGGUUAAGGAACUAGGCAAAUUGACCCUGUAACUUCGGGAUAAAGGGUCCUCGUCGUAAGGCGAGGCGCAGAGAAUAGGUCCAGGCAACUGUUUAACAAAAACACAUGGCUGUGCUAAAUGGAAACAUGAGGUAUACAGCCUGACACCUGCCCGGUGCUGGAAGGUUAAGAGGAGAUGUCAUCGCGAGAGAAGCGUUGAAUUGAAGCCCCAGUAAACGGCGGCCGUAACUAUAACGGUCCUAAGGUAGCGAAAUUCCUUGUCGGGUAAGUUCCGACCUGCACGAAUGGUGUAAUGAUCUGGACACUGUCUCAACCGUGAGCUCGGUGAAAUUGUAGUAUCGGUGAAGAUGCCGAUUACCCGCGAUGGGACGAAAAGACCCCGUGAACCUUUACUAUAGCUUUACAUUGAAUUUGGGCAGACGAUGUGUAGGAUAGGCCGGAGGCUUUGAAGGGGGUACGCCAGUAUCCUUGGAGCCGCCGUUGAAAUACGGCCCUUCGGUUGUUUGAGUUCUAACUCCCGGAUGGGAGGACACUGUAUGGUGGGUAGUUUGACUGGGGUGGUCGCCUCCAAAAGCGUAACGGAGGCUUCUAAAGGUGCCCUCAGACCGAUUGGUAACCGGUCGCAGAGUGUAAUGGCAUAAGGGCGCUUGACUGGGAGAGAUACAACUCGAUCAGGUAGGAAACUAGAGCAUAGUGAUCCGGUGGUUCCGCAUGGAAGGGCCAUCGCUCAAAGGAUAAAAGGUACUCCGGGGAUAACAGGCUGAUCAUUCCCAAGAGCUCAUAUCGACGGAAUGGUUUGGCACCUCGAUGUCGGCUCGUCACAUCCUGGGGCUGGAGAAGGUCCCAAGGGUUGGGCUGUUCGCCCAUUAAAGUGGCACGCGAGCUGGGUUCAGAACGUCGUGAGACAGUUCGGUCUCUAUCUAUCGUGGGCGCAGGAGAUUUGAGGGGCUCUGACACUAGUACGAGAGGACCGUGUUGGACGUACCACUGGUUUACCGGUUGUCCCGCCAGGGGCACCGCCGGGUAUCUAAGUACGGAUCGGAUAAGUGCUGAAAGCAUCUAAGUACGAAGCCGGCCUCAAGAUUAGAUCUCCCUCAAGGGUGGUUAUAGACGAUGACCUUGAUAGGCCACAGGUGUAAGGGCGGUGACGUCGAAGCCGAGUGGUACUAAUAGCCCGGGACUUUCCUCA